This 508-nucleotide ribosomal RNA is filed under the name uncultured Escherichia sp. Its description in RNAcentral is "bacterial SSU rRNA". Lineage: Bacteria; Pseudomonadati; Pseudomonadota; Gammaproteobacteria; Enterobacterales; Enterobacteriaceae. The record is from RNAcentral.
CAGGGGGGAAAAACAUGUUUCUGAGCGUUCUACGCGGGCAGCAGUGGGGAAUCUUGCUCAAGGGCGCAAGCCUGAUCCAGCCAUGCCGCGUGUAUGAAGAAGGCCUUCGGGUUGUAAAGUACUUUCACGGGGAGGAAGGGAGUGAAGUUAAUACCUUUGUUCGUUGACGUUACCCGCAGAAGAAGCACCGGCUAACUCCGUGCCAGCAGCCGCGGUAAUACGGAGGGUGCAAGCGUUAAUCGGAAUUACUGGGCGUAAAGCGCVCGCAGGCGGUUUGUUAAGUCAGAUGUGAAAUCCCCGGGCUCAACCUGGGAACUGCAUCUGAUACUGGCAAGCUUGAGUCUCGUAGAGGGGGGUAGAAUUCCAGGUGUAGCGGUGAAAUGCGUAGAGAUCUGGAGGAAUACCGGUGGCGAAGGCGGCCCCCUGGACGAAGACUGACGCUCAAGUGCGAAAGCGUGGGGAGCAAAGGAUUAGAUACCUGGGUAGUCCCAGGUUUAAUAAUUGGUAG